Molecule: long non-coding RNA, 3437 nt
Filed under: Salmo salar (Atlantic salmon)
Lineage: Eukaryota; Metazoa; Chordata; Actinopteri; Salmoniformes; Salmonidae
Description: lncRNA (ENSSSAG00000120110.1)
Source: RNAcentral
CAGAGGGUUAGUGAUAGGUAAGGUAGUGAUCAGAGGGUUAGUGAUAGGUAAGGUAGGGAUCAGAGGGUUAGUGAUAGGUGAGGUAGGGAUCAGAGGGUUAGUGAUAGGUGAGGUAGUGAUCAAAGGGUUAGUGAUAGGUGAGGUAGUGAUCAGAGGGUUAGUGAUAGGUAAGGUAGUGAUCAGAGGGUUAGUGAUAGGUAAGGUAGUGAUCAGAGGGUUAGUGAUAGGUGAGGUAGUGAUCAGAGGGUUAGUGAUAGGUGAGGUAGUGAUCAGAGGGUUAGUGAUAGGUAGAGGGGGCAACAGGAGUCAAACGGUGAUCCAAUUUAUUGAAUGAGAAAGAUCAGACAGGCCGUACCUGAAGACAACUUAAAGAGAGGGGGAUAGCUUCUGAAGAGACCAAUUGAAAUUGUGCAAAGAGAUUUGAAGAAGGGAAAACAGAAAGCACAUAGAAUUGUUGUUUUUACCUCUCUCUCUCUCUCUCUCUCUCUCUCUCUCUCUCUCUCUCUCUAUCACUCUCUCUCUCUAUCACUCUCUCGUUCUCUCUCUCUCUCGCUCUCUCUCACUCUCGCUCUCUUGCUCUCUCGCUCUCUCGUUCUCUCGCUCUCUCAUUCUCUCUUUCUCUCGCUCUCUCUCUCGCUCUCUCACUCGUUCUCUCACUCUCUCUCUCUCUCUCUCUCUCUCUCUCUCUCUCUCUAUCACUCUCUCGUUCUCUCUCUCUCUCACUCUCUCGUUCUCUCUCUCUCUCGCUCUAUCGCUCUCUCUCACUCUCGCUCUCUUGCUCUCUCGCUCUCUCGUUCUCUCGCUCUCUCAUUCUCUCUUUCUCUCGCUCUCUCGCUCUCUCUCUCGCUCUCUCACUCGCUCUCUCACUCUCUCUCUCUCUGGCUCUCUCACUCUCUCUCUCUCUCUCUCUCUCUCUCUCACUCUCUCUCUCUGGCUCUCUCGCUCUCUCACUCUCUCUCUCACUCUCUCUCUCUCUGUCUCUCUCUCACUCACUCUCUCUGGCUCUCUCACUCUCUCUCUCUCUCUCUCUCUCUCUCUCUCUCUCUCUCUCACUCUCUCUCUCUGGCUCUCUCACUCUCUCUCUCACUCUCUCUCUCUCUCUCUCUCUCUCACUCUCUCUCUCUGGCUCUCUCGCUCUCUCACUCUCUCUCUCACUCUCUCUCUCUCUCUCUGGCUCUCUCGCUCUCUCACUCUCUCUCUCACUCUCUCUCUCUCUCUCUCACUCUCUCUCUCGCUCUGUCUUUCUGUCUCUUCCUCCCCCUGGUGUCCAAUAAAUGCAAUCAUUCCAUAUUUAUUUGUGAGAAAUAAGAACAACAUACUCAUGCGGUCUAUAAUUUCCGAUAAAGUAAACAGUUCUGCGUCUGCUGCCCUCAGAGCAUGAGGCAUAAAUUAGCCACAAGGGAUUUGGUGUGUAUAUAUGUAUAGUGUCUAGAGAGGGAUACAAGAGUGGUGCUAAUGUUGUGACUACACAUCCAUCAUAUUUAUUAUGUACCAAUAAUACGUGUUUACUGCAUGUGGAUGCUACAGCAGCACUUUGAACAUUACAGGAGAAUCUGUAAGACAAGCUCGUGAUUGUACAGAGACAUCAAGACUGACCUGUUCGUCUUUGUCGUAAACAUUUACCAGAUCUGCUGUCUAUACAACUUCAACGUAAUCUCCAAUAUAUUUUUCCAUCCCAUGCAAAAUGUAUACUUAAAUGUCUCUAUGUUAAAAACCUUUUUUUUUUUUUGAGGAUCCUAUUUCUUUAUUCAAGAGACUGCUUUAGAGUUGGGAUGUAUUCCAGCUGCAGAAUCAUCUGUUUGUGGGCUGCAGGCUUUUCGUCCUUCACUAGAAAGUAUUUAAAUUGUCCUGAUUGCAGCAGAUGAAGUGCUGCCUGACUGGGUAAUUCAUAAAGCUGAGCCUGAGCAACACUGAAACAGUUGUUGUAAUACUAGGCCACAGCUGUUGCCGGAAUAGAUUUCACAGAUGAUGAGACAGACAGAGGUGUCCAAAAAGACAAACCAAAUAGGAAUGUAACUGGAGAAAACAGGUUCCAACAUUCCCUGAAUUCCCAAGUUUUUCAGAAAUUCCGUUUGGAAAAUUUCCAGUUUUUCUAGCAAACCUGGUUGGAAAAUUCCCGGAAUCAGGAAGGAAUAAACUGGAAAUUUAGAAUCUUACAACUGAAUUCUGGAAAACCUGGGAAUUUGAGGAAUUACCAAUUACCAUUGUUUUGCAACCCUAUAACAGGUCAAAACAAAGUAUGAUUAAUGUGCAAUAUAAUACAACCAACAGUCAAAUUCAAUUAUUCUAUUUUAGCCCUUCUGAACAUUUGGCAUUAGUUGGGCUCCAAUUGUUAGAGCUUGGAGGAGGUAGUACUUUACGAUUGUGUCAAAAAUAAUCAUAUAUAUAUAUAUAUAUAUAUAUAUAUUGUUUUACCUUUACUUAACUAGGAUGACGGCCUACACCGGCCAAACCCGGACGAUUCUGGGCCAAUAUGGGACUCCCAAUCACAGCCGGUUGUGAUUACAGCCUGGAUUCGAACCAGAGUGUCUGUAGUGACACCUCUUGCACUGAGAUGCAGCCUUAGACCACUGCACCACUCAGGAGCCCAUAUGUUAUGCUGCACAAGCCGUACAAGUGUAUACAUACAUUUAUCCAAGUUUAUUUUUUAUUUUUUUCAGCUCCGGCUAAAAACUUUAAAGGUGUCCCAAGUGUCUCCCUAUUCCCUAUUUAGUGCACUAGGGCCCAUAGGGUUCUGGUCAAAAGUAGUGCACUAUGUAGGGAAUAGGGUGCCAUUUGGGACACUGUUUAAAUUUAACCACUGAUGAUCCAGAUACUUCCUCAAUGACACCUGCCACAGCAGGACUCUGCUUUAGCAAAUUGUUAAACGCAUUGACAACACAUAGGAUAUUCUUCCUAGCUAUUCAUUUCUGUUCACCAUAAACCCAGUAUUAGGUAAAACGUAGCUCCUGGCAUGUACUAAACUCCUCAAACAACAUCAUUGGCCAAACCCUCUCAUCAGCAGUUCUCUGUUUUGUUUUCUUGUUUUUGCUGGUUCUGCUAUAUGGUUUCAUGUUUGUCUUGUAAAACAAUGUCAACGAGGAAGGACUUUUUAGCGCUGUAGUUUUUAGAGACAGACAGAAAGUAACACUUCCCCUAAAUAUUUUAGUCCAACGUGAUGCCACUAGCACAAAGUGAGACCAUACCCUGUAUGUGUUUUCAGGUACCUUUCUCAGUGCCUGUUUCAAAUGACUGUAUUUGCCUUCUCAGUGUGGGUCAACCAGUGUUGUAAUCUCGAUCCCAGGCUCAUUUGCUAUUUGCCGUAAGCUCCAUUCAUGUGCUGUUUCAAGGUUCUGUGAAACCAGACAGGUUCAACAACGAGAGAGCUGAGUGGGUUGGUGACUGGGUGGGUGACUGGCUGAGUGGGUGGCUGGGUGACUGAGUGGGUGACUAAGUGG